CCUACGGGUGGCAGCAGUGAGGAAUAUUGGUCAAUGGACGAGAGUCUGAACCAGCCAAGCAGCGUGAAGGAUGACUGCUCUAUGGGUUGUAAACUUCUUUUAUAUGGGAGUAAACUUUUCCACGUGUGGGAUAUUGUAUGUACCAUACGAAUAAGGAUCGGCUAACUCCGUGCCAGCAGCCGCGGUAAUACGGAGGAUCCGAGCGUUAUCCGGAUUUAUUGGGUUUAAAGGGAGCGUAGGUGGAUUGUUAAGUCAGAAGUGAAAGGUUGCGGCUCAACCGUAGAAUUGCAGUUGAAACUGGCGGUCUAGAGUGCAGAAGAGGUGGGCGGAAUUCGUGGUGUAGCGGUGAAAUGCUUAGAGAUCACGAAGAACACCGAUUGCGAAGGCAGCUCACUGGACUGCAACUGACGCUGAGGCUCGAAAGUGUGGGGAGCAAACAGGAUUAGAUACCCGAGUAGUC
Molecule: ribosomal RNA, 460 nt
Filed under: uncultured bacterium
Lineage: Bacteria
Description: partial 16S ribosomal RNA
Rfam family: Bacterial small subunit ribosomal RNA
Source: RNAcentral